This 301-nucleotide ribosomal RNA is filed under the name uncultured bacterium. RNAcentral describes it as "partial 16S ribosomal RNA". It matches the Rfam family "Bacterial small subunit ribosomal RNA", at positions 509 to 809 of the family's 1533-position model. The record is from RNAcentral.
CAGCCGCCGCGGGAAUACGUAGGGUGCAAGCGUUAAUCGGAAUUACUGGGCGUAAAGCGUGCGCAGGCGGUUUGUUAAGACAGAUGUGAAAUCCCCGGGCUCAACCUGGGAACUGCAUUUGUGACUGGCAAGCUAGAGUGUGGCAGAGGGGGGUGGAAUUCCGCGUGUAGCAGUGAAAUGCGUAGAUAUGCGGAGGAACACCGAUGGCGAAGGCAGCCCCCUGGGCCAACACUGACGCUCAUGCACGAAAGCGUGGGGAGCAAACAGGAUUAGAUACCCCCGUAGUCCCUGUCUCUUAUAA